GUGGGGAAUAUUGGACAAUGGGCGAAAGCCUGAUCCAGCCAUGCCGCGUGUGUGAAGAAGGUCUUCGGAUUGUAAAGCACUUUAUGUUGGGAGGAAGGGCAGUAAGUUAAUACCUUGCUGUUUUGACGUUACCGACAGAAUAAGCACCGGCUAACUUCGUGCCAGCAGCCGCGGUAAUACGAAGGGUGCAAGCGUUAAUCGGAAUUACUGGGCGUAAAGCGCGCGUAGGUGGUUUUGUAAGUUGGAGGUGAAAUCCCCGGGCUCAACCUGGGAACUGCCUCCAAAACUGCAUGACUAGAGUACGGUAGAGGGUAGUGGAAUUUCCUGUGUAGCGGUGAAAUGCGUAGAUAUAGGAAGGAACACCAGUGGCGAAGGCGACUACCUGGACUGAUACUGACACUGAGGUGCGAAAGCGUGGGGAGCAAACAGGAUUAGAUACCCCGGUAGUCC
RNAcentral lists this ribosomal RNA (450 nucleotides) under uncultured bacterium. Its description in RNAcentral is "partial 16S ribosomal RNA". It matches the Rfam family "Bacterial small subunit ribosomal RNA", at positions 354 to 796 of the family's 1533-position model. The record is from RNAcentral.